This 3478-nucleotide long non-coding RNA is filed under the name Olea europaea (common olive). RNAcentral's name for it is "long non-coding RNA (OEUR_LNC008989)". The record is from RNAcentral. Lineage: Eukaryota; Viridiplantae; Streptophyta; Magnoliopsida; Lamiales; Oleaceae.
AAAAUCACUCAAAACCCAAAUCAGGAGUUCCUAUUCCAAAAAACUCUCAAAGAGAAACCCUCCUCACCUACUAUUCCACUUCUUCUCACGACAUUCUCGAUCGAUUCGGCUAGUUUUUUUCCUCCUGCACCGUGUUUUUUCUUUUCAAGUUUAUGAGCAGAUUCCUUUGAAUUAGUUACUCCAUCUGGUGGCUGAUCAAUGUCAUCGGAGUAUUUCAAAUUGGAAUCUGCUCAAAAAGGCCGUGUACACAACGUCAUCUAGGAACUGGUCAGGACAUUCCAUGGACUUUUGGUUUGGUCAUCCAGGAUUUUGCUACUAUAAAUAAUCGGAACAUGGGAUUUUGAAAGGUUAGUACUUAGUAGUUGCUUUUUCAUUUUGUAGAACUCUGAUACUAUUUAUUAUUAUGAUUAUUUUUUUUGAAAGUUUUGAAAAUGAAUUUCUUUGGGAUACAUGAACUUCGAUGAGGCAAUCUUGCAAACGUAAAAGAGUUACAUGAUUAUUUGGCCAGCAAUAUUUCUCAUGAUUUUCGAACAUUUAUAGUAGUAGUAUAGUAUCUUCUGCGACUCCUUAUUUUUAAUUAUCAUGGUACAAUUAAGAGUUUUAGGAGCAUCCAUAUUAACUGCUAAUUUUUUAGAGUGCUCUUGUGUAUGUGGUGUUUAUCCAUGCAGUUUAUUUUGCCCAAUAAGGGAAUCAUUCAGUAUUAUAACAGUGACUUUUGGGGUGAGAUAACUGUUUUCUCUAUGUUAAUAUUGAUUUGAACAUUGUAAACUUCUGUUUUAAACUUUAUGUGAGUGGUAGAAGGCUAAGUAAAGAACAGGAAUAUGUUUCAAAUUUUUUUUUAAUUUUUUUAUCUGUUAUUUAUAUUUCUAUCACUUUUUUAAGUUUUUGUCACUUUAUUUGAGUUUUCAUCACUUUUUUUAAUGAUUGUUACUUUUUUUAUUCUUUCAAGUCACUUUUUAUUUAUUAUUAUUAUUAUUAUUAUUAUUAUUAUUAUUAUUAUUAUUAUUAUUAUUAUUAUUAUUAUGUUUUAGUUUCUGUCACUUUUUUAAGUGACAAACAAUAAAUAAAGAGAUUCUCAACCUUAGAGAGUGAUGAUUAGUAUUUAGUAGGUAGAUUGUGUGUAACUUUUUCAUAAAUCAUUUUUUGAAUUUCUGCCACUUUUCUAUUUUCUGUCAUUUUUUUAAUGGUUUGUUAUUAUUAUUAUUAUUAUUAUUAUUAUUAUUAUUAUUAUUAUUAUUAUUAUUUUUGAAUUUUUAUCACUUCUUUGAAUUACAAAACAUCAAUUUUAAUAAAAGUAUGUCACUUUUUAGUAAAAAGUGAAACUAAACUUUACGAAGUAUUUUUUACUUCAAAACUACUUUUCAUAUGAUUUUUCAAAAGACAUCUAAUUUUUAGAGUUAUGUUUGUAAGUUGCCGAAUAAUAUUCAGAAGCCGAGAUUGAUAUAAAGCUUUAUAGGAAUCUGAUCCCCUUCCAAAUCCACUAGUGCAGCUGACAGGAGAUGCCUAUCAACUAUAAAUAAAACCUUAUGUUGUACUUAAACGUGUGCUCUUUCCAUUGUUUCAGGGUAGUUCCUAGUCAUUUUUGCUGGUUUUUUAGUAGGCUAGAAUAGAAUAUGGUUGAGACCAUCAUCUUCUCUGUAUUCACUAUAUGUUGUCAUCCUUUUUGCUAUGCCUGGAGUUGAGGGUUGGCAUUGUUGUGUUAAAGAGUGGAAAACUGGAUUUCAAAGAAACAGAAAGUAGAUUAUUUAGCCCCCGUUUCGAUGAAUUAAUAAAUGCUUUAAUUUAUAACUAUAUAGAAAUGAGAAGUUGAUAAGUGGGUAGUAGUUGUAGGUUCACUGAAUGUGUUUGAAAAUUAAAUUUGACAAUUUAUAAAUGAUUUAUAAAUAGCCAAACAGAGGCUUAGUAUUUCUUGACUUUGAUGAAUUUUGUCCUCGAGUGAAGCAUUUAUUGCAGAUUUAUUCAUAUGCUCAUGAGAUAAAGGCAUUUUCCCUUGGUCUGGUAAAGGUGGUUGUCAAUGGCGAAAAUAUCAUUAGUCUGGCAAUUGAUGUGAGUUCUGUUUAAGUUGGGAUGGCACGUCGCAUAAUUUAGUCCUUAUUAGAAAUAAGCCCAAGGACAAAAGUAACAUGCCUUCACAUGCUAGAUUUCAUACUAUGGUGUCAUUCUCUCAAAUUGAAUAUGACCUUGUGUUUAUUAUUAAACACGAUGGUCAUUGCCUUGCCUUUCAGAGCAUUUUUGACAGGACAUAUUGAUGAAUAAAAAGGACGAAAUAAUUUUAUCCAUCGUACUACAGAGUCAUGUCGAGUAGUGUAUUGAACUUGUUAAUGAACCAAGAGAGUAUUUUCCGGUGGUUUGGUAUCGGAAUCAUCUUUCUAGUUUCGUUAUAACUUGCACCUGCAACUAGUAGUACCAAGAAAUGGUAAGUUGAAUUUGUGUGAUUGAGCUUGAGUUUGGAUAAUUUUGAUGUUGGGGAAGGUGUGUGGUGGGAAUGGGGGAUUAUGAGGCAGUUGUGCAGUCCUCAGAACAUGGAAAAAUGUUAAUUGUCUGUCGAGGAAAUUGAGGGCAUAGGCAGUAGUGCUGCUUAUUUUCAUUAGACUUGAGAAUGAAUGUCUACUCAAAUUUAUUCCUGCUCAAUUUUGUUAUUAGGAUUUGGCAAGGUUCACAUGGGAGCUGGUUCUUACAUAGUCAUCUUGUCUUUUGAUUCUCACUAGAAAAAAGAAGAUGGUAAAAAACAUAAAAAGUGGCAAAAUGAAGAUGAGAAAAAAAAAAAAAAAAUUGCGCUUGGGUCAAUGUAAUCUCGUUGUGUAUAUAGCUAGUUCGAUGAAAGGAAUGCUCUCGCUUCAAUGCUGUAUAAUUUAUAUUCUUGAGUAGGUUACAAGUAUUGUCUGAUAGGUUGAUGGAUAGAAUAAAUGUGACAUUAGGCGGGGUUAGCUCGAACGACCUUUAAACAAAAGGGUACUUGUGUUAGGUGCUCAAUUUUUUUUCCCCAUUGAGGUUGAACCUAAACUUGUGCUCAUUACAAAUAGUAUGCCCUUGGCCCAUUUGCAUAUUUUUUUUGUUUUACGCCCCGUAACUCUUCCCCCUUUCAUUCUGAGGUGACGGAAGGAUCGUGCCUUUCCGGAUAUGCCUCAAUGUCCCGGCUAUUCAUGGAACGUGAAUCAUCUGCUUCCGGAAGAAAUCGAAGAAUUUCUCGAUUUGAAUGCUACAUGAAGAACAUAAGUCAGAUGACGGGACGAGAAGACCAGGACGUAGAAGAUGUAAUCUUCUUUUUCUCUUCAUUGCCCAAAAUUUUCUUGGUAAAUUGUUUCAAGCUCAUCUUCUAAAGAGUAUUUGGAGAAUAUAAUAAACACCACUUUUUCUUUCCUUCCCCCUUCGUGGCAUAAUAUUAUCGGGAAAAUUAGAGUUGCACUUGGCAUGAUUAUGUGGUGUUAAGCAUUUCAAUCUUCGAAAUUGAUAUUUAGAUGAUAACCCUAUUCAAGAG